Transfer RNA from Ovis aries (sheep), 72 nucleotides. It matches the Rfam family "tRNA". Rfam says of the family: Transfer RNA (tRNA) molecules are approximately 80 nucleotides in length. Their secondary structure includes four short double-helical elements and three loops (D, anti-codon, and T loops). Lineage: Eukaryota; Metazoa; Chordata; Mammalia; Artiodactyla; Bovidae. The record is from Rfam.
UCCCUGGUAGUUCAGGUGGUAAAGAAUCUGCCUGCAAAGCAGGAAACCCAGGUUCAAUCCCUGGGUUGGGAA